AUUUAUUUAUUUCUUUUUUACAAUAUUUUUUGUUGCGGUGGCGCUCACAAUAAGUAAAUGCCAUGGCGCAAUAAAAUAAACAAGCCGGCAUUAGUUUUAGCCGGCAAUGAGCGAACGCCAAACUGAAAAUGAGCCGGAUAUGCAGGUCUCCUGAUUUGUGAAAAAAAGGUAGUGCCAAGUUUGUGUUGAUUUUUGCUGAGUCGAUUCUUUUAGAUCGGCGUUGGAAAAAUGCAACUCUGUGCGUAUGAUUAUGUUUAGUAGAACAGUGAAGUGAAGAAAAGUAAAUAAAUUUGGAAAAUUGUGGGAAAAUCGAGAAGGGGAAAUUAGUCUUGGCGUCAUUUUUCCCGUAUAAAAGCGUAGAGAUAGCAAAAAGAAAACCAGAUUUUGUUGGUGCGCUAUAGAAAAAACAACAUUUUUAUUUCGUUUGCCAAAAUCGACAAUUUGGAAAAAGUCGGCAUUUAACAACGGUACAAAAUUAAGUUUUAUUGACGGGUUUAUACGGCUGCGUGCCUUGCAUUUAUUUUUAUAUUGGAUGAAUAAAAAUCAUAGAUAUUCCAUCAGAUUGCGAGCCAUUGCGAGGCCUUCCAACGGUUUACGCGGAAGGUCGCCUUGUUUAAACCAGCCAUAUGCCAUAGAAAAAUUUGUUUCGACAUCUAAGUUGCAGAAAGCCAGCAGAUUGAUGCGACAGUGUCCGUUGUGCCAGAAAAGAGCCAUAUAAUUUCCGCCGACAUAAGUUCCCACAAGCCAAUUAAGUAUCUGGCCAACCAGGUAACGAAGAUAAAAAAAAAAAAAUUUUUUAAUAGUUACCUCAUGUUAAGUGGAACCGGCACCGUAGCGCUUUAUCGACGGGUGUGAGGCGACCGUUAAACAUCUGAAAUAAAUUAACAAGGAAAUUAAAAUAUUAAUAAUUGAUGUGACAUUAAGUCCACAAAAAAACUAACCUAAAAUCAAAAUUAAAAAAAAAAAAAGAGAAACUAUAGUAUUAAUAUAAUGUUUUAGAAAUAAGUUGUGUUGUUUAGGAGUUAAUAUUCGUUUAUGUUUUAAUUUAAGUAUUAUUAUUGUGAGGAGAAUUAAUGCCACGAAACUCGUUCGACGUGAGUGAAGGAACACCCUCAACGUUCAACUAGGUUUAGACGAAACGUUUUUUCUUUUAGACAGGUUAAAGAAAUGUCUAGCCCUACCUAAUCGAGCUCCAUUAGGCAGAAUACCUUAGAUUAGUAAAAAAAUAGCCCGAAUUGGCCGAAUACCUAGUGUGAAGAUUGUUGUCGUCCCGAAUAUUGACUCACAUUCCUCGUGUUGUCUGGUGUUAAUAAUCCAUUAAGAGACCAUGAUAAAAGCAAUGUUAAUAAAUGUAUAUGUUUGAAUGUUAAGAUUAA
Long non-coding RNA from Musca domestica (house fly), 1376 nucleotides. RefSeq lists it as uncharacterized. The transcript is spliced from 2 exons. Lineage: Eukaryota; Metazoa; Arthropoda; Insecta; Diptera; Muscidae. The record is from RefSeq and is a predicted model, not a curated record.